Non-coding RNA from Hydra vulgaris (swiftwater hydra), 468 nucleotides. The record is from RefSeq and is a predicted model, not a curated record. Lineage: Eukaryota; Metazoa; Cnidaria; Hydrozoa; Anthoathecata; Hydridae.
CAUUUUUAAUGAUUACUGCUGCAUUAAAAUUUUACGCCUUCCUAAAUAUUUCAAUAAAGGCAUUGACAAAAAAUUAAUUUUUGCAUAUAUCCGAAGAUAUGACAAAGUGAAGAAAAACAUGAAAAAUUAAACAAGCUUCUUCAACAAAAUGAAAAAUGAUCUGUUUUGCGACUCUGUUAAAAACAAAGUAUCAAGAAAUAAUUUGUAUUCCGAUGAAUUGUCCUCAAAAUUUUGUGGUGAAGUAAGUUAUAUGAUUGGAAGAGAUUGGUUGCGAUGGGAAGACACCUAGGCUUGAGUGGUUCAGAUCUUGAUCACACUGACUCUGAUAAUAAGAAUUGUUAUGAAAAAGCUGACAACGUUUUAAAAAAAUGGAAGCAAAAAAAUGGAGGUCUUUCAUGGAAACAAUUAAAAAAAGAGUUAAAAGGUUUUGAUCGUUCAGAUAUUGUGAGAGAAAUUGAAAAAAAACUU